RNAcentral lists this long non-coding RNA (1132 nucleotides) under Olea europaea (common olive). RNAcentral's name for it is "long non-coding RNA (OEUR_LNC011528)". Lineage: Eukaryota; Viridiplantae; Streptophyta; Magnoliopsida; Lamiales; Oleaceae. The record is from RNAcentral.
GUGUUUGUAUAUUAUUUAAGAUAAACAAUUCUUGGGCUACCUUGAUGUUUAGGUAGGAGACAAGCAGAUGCAUGAAAAAUGAUUAACAAUACAAGAGCCAACUCACAAGUACACAACAACUUUGCUUCAUUCAAAUAUACGCAAGAGACAACAAUUGUCACUAACCAAUUCAAAGCCAAUAGAUAUGGAAUCAAUAAGCGGCAAUUAGAUGUUGAAGUCAAAAUCAUCCAAAUACAGGUAAAUCAGACUUAAAGCCAAUGAAGUCAAAAUCAUCCAAAUACAUGUAAAACAAACUUAAAGCUAAAGAAGUUGAAAUCAUCUAAUUACAUGGACUUCAGAUUAAAUAAUUUGAAACACGUUUCCCCUUGCGCAUGGUUAUAUUUAGUGAAUCUCCACAUCUCACUCCAUGGUUAUUUUUGCACAUACUUUCAACAUACGGGACAACUCAGGGACCGGUUCACUUCCUUCGGUUGUGCCACUUGAUUCGCCUUGCAAUGGAUACUCUUCAUCGGGCGAAACGUUACAAAACUUGAAGAACCCACAGUCGUGAGUACAGGAAUGGAACAACUUUCCUUGAUUCUUGGAAUUUUUUUCUACCUCCAACCAUCUAACGAACCCAUCUCCACAGUUUGGGCAUCUCUUCUUUUUGGAGCAUUCUGGCAUCAUGUGUUCUGCCCCCAGCAAGAAUGACAAAUUCCUGUGUUCCUCCUAGCCAUCAACAAUACUGAUUCAUUCACAAAAAAACUACUGGUUCAUCAUAAAUUGACAGGAUGAAUAACGUUGCAAUUUUUCCACUCUACAAGCUGAACUGUAAUGAUAUGGGAAAAAAACACGGUAUCUUUCUCAACGCAUGCAUUUCACCAUCAACAACUCCAUCAAUUUAACUGUAAAUCGGACUUCACAUAACAACCCCAUCAAUUAACUGUAAAUUAGACAUAACAUACGUAGAUUGUGCAGACACAACCUUGAAAUAAAUUCUUCAAUUUCUAGAAUGAGAAUUGGGCAUACAAGAAAAUCCAAUUUCUCAGAUAUAAAAACCUCAGGUUCUUCAUAUUUCAACAGAUCUACAUUCAGGUCACUGUAUUGCCCUAAACCUUAAAUAUUAAAAUUAAAAUAAAAAUGGAAUUCNNNN